Heterocephalus glaber (naked mole-rat) is the source of this 7996-nucleotide long non-coding RNA. Lineage: Eukaryota; Metazoa; Chordata; Mammalia; Rodentia; Bathyergidae. The record is from Ensembl.
CCCAGAGAGAGGCCAAAGGGAGGGAGGGGGGAGUCUGUAUUAAUUCCCGAGGCCCUCCCAAAGGAGGUCGAGGUUACCCCGGCUGGGCUGUGACCCUGGAAGGAAAGUCAGUUUCUUUCUUCUGGAUUCCAGAAAAUAACGCUGGUGUUCCUGCUGUCGACACCAGGCCCCUGCAAAAAGCCCUGGUGUUUCUUCUACUUUUCCAGCUUUGUAAAUGGCCAGCUACUACCCUGCACAGCCUCUGAGCUAUAGUGUCUUGUAGGAAAACGUGGUCCCUGCUUCCUCUUAGAGACAACAGUCUUUGAAAGUUUUGCCACAAGAAUUUUCCUUUAUGGGCAGAGAAUGGCAUAAACGCAUGUCCAUGGAAGACCCGAGUGAGAAAUCCUGUCACAGGGACAUCCCGUCCGAGGGACACCGCACACUUGAAUUCUCCUGUUGGGUCCCAGCGCCUUCUUCAUGCCCAGCUUGAUUGAAUUGUGGAUAUUCUGAGCACCCUUCCCCAUCAGGACUCAACCUUUGGGCUCCUCCCUCUGCCUCUGUUCCUCUUGUGUCUCUAGGUACCUGCUGGGUGGGACCUCAGACACCUCAUGUCCAGGAGGAUGUGUGACCUGCCUUUGGCGAGAGCGGCAGUCAAAGUCUCUCUCCAGUGCUACAUCUUGGCUGAGUUCCAGUCCCCACCUGCCAGGCUGACCUUAGGCAAUUUGAUUUAUGAGGGAGAAGACAAAGAAAAAGGGAUGAGAAAAGGAAAUAAAGUAAGACAACCCAAGCCAGAUGCCUUGGUCCCUCCCUCUCUCCCUGGUCAGGAAUAACAAAGGUGGCAACUGCCCCCGUUGUGGGAGCUACCAAAGGUGAGGUUUUUUAAGGUGAGGUUUUCUGGCCAGGGAGGAGCUGCUGGGGUUGGUGAAGCCUGCAAUGUGGAUGGCUGCCCCACCUACUCUGUGGGGACAUCCUGACUGAAGCUUGACGAGUCCUCAAGUGGCUGCUCACCCCUCCCAGCUUGGUGAUGCUCAAAGCAUCUGCCACAAAGCUUUUCUUUAAGGAGCAUGACAAUAGUACAAUGAGAGAAAAACUGUCAGGCAUGGUAGCACAUGCCUAGCACUCAGGAGGCUGAGGCAGAAAUAUUUAAAAGUGAGAUUGGCAAGAGAAAGAGAGAGAUUGGAAAAACUCUUUCUGGGUUCUCAACCAAAACCAGCUAUUUAUAAGUCCAGAAAAAUCCAAGACAUCAAGUGACCCCCAUUCCUGCAAAUGGGGACUGUGCUCACCUUCCUGAGGGACUGAGAGGUCCACUCGGGCCCAGGGGGCACUCUGCCCCCAUCACUUACUCUAUGGAGAUCCAGCACCUUCCUGGGGCCACAAGUGCUACCUUCCUGCCUGAGGAGCAGGACAACAGGGACACCCAUAUCAACAGGGACGGGGUGGGGGCUUUGUAGCAGCUUCGCUACAUAGUUCUCAUUCAGCCACUCGGGGACAAGUCUAAGGACAUGCUCGGGGCUGGGGACAGAACUGACCUCCCUGGUUCUGGCUCCACCUGGACUCCUGGGGAAGCCCCUGUCCCUGGAAGGGGUAGGGAGCCUCCCCCUGAAAAGCACCCGAGGAGCAGUUUCGCCCCUUUGUGAAUGAGCUCUCCAAGCACUGGGCUGAGUCACUGCCCUAUGACACAGAUCACGUGACUUCAGAUUGCUCAGAAGUAUGACUGGCACCCUGGCCUCCGCACCCUGAGGGGCUCUGGGCGAGCCGCUGUCAGCACAGAACAAGGAGCCCAAGCUCAGCCUUCUGGUUUUCUAGCCACCUCAGUCAGCUCCCACCUUUCAGAGCCCUGUCCGAACAUGGCACAUUUCCUGAAGGCAGCUGGAGGUGACCUGGGGUGGCUGUGUGGUUUUAAUGACCUUUGCACCUUUCUCUAGAAGGAGCAAACCCCCUAGCAGGUCUCCCUGUGGGUCAGAAGGUGGGAAGUGUUCUCACAUGGGAGUGGGGACGUCAGACCCCCUCUAUCAGCCUGCUGGUGGCACCAAUUCCUGAGCUGAAGGCACGAGGCUGGACAAGGGUCAGUCUCGGCCUUGGGUCUCCCCAGCCACACCCAUGGGCCCCACGGGAACAUCCGCCUGGCAUCCCCAGCCUGUCUCCUCAUGCAGGAGUGAGCUGCUGCUUCUCAGCCACUGCGCCAGCUGGAAUCCAGGCAGCUGGUAGCUUGCCAGUGUCAGGCUAAGGCCUGAGUCAUGGCACUGUCACAGCCCUCAGUGGAGGACUGACCCACAAAGGAAAUUACACAGCACUCCACGGCCUGUGGCGGAGGCAGGGGCUUUUCCAAGAGUGGCUGCUGGGAAGACAGAGAGCAGUGUCAGAGCCCAUUGGAGGCUAAGGCUGAGGGGAGAGGGCUGGUGGUGCGGCUCCAACCAUCUGUGACAGAACUGUGUGCUCACCGAGCCAGCCUUGAGCCACACAGUCCCAGCUGCAGCCCCCGGCCUCUGCACAGGUGUUCACUCAGAAUCCACACUGGGAGUAGGAGUAGCAUGCCGAGGGACCCUUGGUCAGAAGGACUACCCCUCUCAGCUAGCUAGAUUCUGGACACUAAACUCUUACUGGGCUCAGUGAUGCCUGUCUAGUCCCAGCCACUCAAGAGGCUGAGGCAGGGGGACUGCUUGAGCCCAGGCAUUUAGGGCAGUCUAGGUAACACAGUGAGACUCUGUCUCUAAAAAAAAAAUUAAAAACUAAAUUAGGCCAGGUGUGGUGGUGCACAUCUGUAAUCUCAGCACUCAGGAAGCUGAGGCAGGAGAAUUGCUGCAAGGCCAGCCUGGACUACACAGUGAGUUCAAGUCCAGCCUGAAAUACAUAUUGAGACCCUGUCUCAAAAAUAAAUCAAUUAUUUAGCUUGGUGGCACCACACCUGCCUUGCAAGUGCAAGGUCCGGAGAUCGAUCCCUGGUACUGAGAAAAAAACCCCACAAAAAACCAAAAAAAGGGCUGGGGAUUUACCUCAGUGGUUCCACUGCCUGCUGCACAAGUGCAACGGCCCCAGUUCAAUCCCUGGUAACAAAAAAAAAAAUCAAUCAAUCAAUCAAUGGGAACUGGGGGUUUGAUUCAGUGCAAAGGCCCUGGGUUCAAUCCCCAGUACCGCUCCCCAAAUUGAACACCCUGUGCCUCGGUUUCCUCAUUUGUAAAACAGGUGUUGAAAUCCUACUGGACAGGCUUGUGGUGAGGAUUCAUAGAGUAGACGCCAAGGGCCUGGCCUGGGGCUGGCACCGAGUAGGUGCCCUGUACAUGUUCCUUGUUCUCUCUACUCUGCUGCAAACCCCAGGUUGACACCAACCCUCAGGCUCAACCCUGUUUUUCCCUGUCCUUCCCCGGCAUCCAGCCCCUCUUGCUUCAUGCAAAUGUGUGGCUGGACGAGGAAACUGGGUUCCUCGUGAUUCAUCUGGGUAGUGUGAAGUCGGCUGCUCAGACACCACAAAGGGCAGACCACCGAGACGGACUCUUUGCACCCUGCCCUCACUGAACACAGCUCUGUGUGUGUGUGUGUGUGUGUGCACGCGCGCAGAAGCAUUCACUGAGCACCUACUGUGUGCCUAGCUGGGCUAGGGCCUGCACACUUGGCACUUGCUUACUUGGUGUGAUUUGCAUGGCUUCUCUGCGUCAUUCAGCGUGGCUUUCACAGAGUGCUCUCAGCCUGGGUGGGGGUGGAGAUGGCUCUGCUUCUAUUUUUAUCUUCCCAUCAGAGGGUGCUGUGCUCUGGGGCCCUUUGUCUCCCUUGGCACUUUCCCCUGCAUCCGGCAGCUGCAUCUGGAGGCUUUGGGUUUGCGAAGGGAGCAGUUGUUUUGCAUCCAGGCACCUCACCCUCCACCCUCUGAGCCCACUGUGAAGCCUCCUGGGCUGGAUUCAGAGACCCAUGAGUUUCCUGGAACCCAGGAGCCACCUGGGCCAGGACUUGUCCCCUGCCCUCUGCAGCCCCAGGGCUCACUGGGACUGAUGGUCCCCUCCUGUCACAGAGGGCAGCAGGUGUGGAGAUUGGACCAGGACUCUGCCAGCCCAGGCGCUCCCUGGGGACCUUGUACUGGGCUGCAGUUGAUUUAUUCUAGUCCAUUCCACUCCCAACUGAGCAUGAGAAAGUGCAGCUUGGGCUCGCAGGUGCAGCGAAGAUUCUAUACUGUGACUUUCCAUCUAGGAAGAACUUAGAGCUUUUCUGUGCAUGAUUUCUUUCUUCAGGAGCUGGGGAUCAAUCUUGGGCCUUGGGCAUGUUAAGCAAAAGCUGUACCACCAGCCACAACCCACCUCUCUUGCCUGUGAUCUUGUGCGUGUGUGUGGGGGGGGGGUACUGGGUUUUGAAUCCCGAGUCUUUACACUGAGAUACACCUCCAACCCUUUUUUAUUUUUUAUUUUGAGACAAGGUCUUGUGUUGCCCAGACUGGACUCAAAUUUGCAAUCCUCCUGCCUCAGCCCCCCGAAGUGCUGGGAUUAUGGGUGUGUGCCACCACACCCAGCACUGAGUACAUUCUAAUCUCAUUCAGAUCUACUUUUUUCCACCAAGUGCCACAGGACUGGUCUAGGUCUGGCGUUUGGGCUGGAGGAGGCAGGUCCCUGGUUCUGGAGACAUCCCUCCUCAGGGAAUGAAGACCAGGAGACCCAUGGCCCCACAAAAGGGCAGGCUGGCCAUGGACACUGAGGAAGAGGAACAGUUUUUGUCUCCAGCAGCUUUCCUUGGGAAAGCACUGUGGGCCUCCCUUGCUGGGCUGACCUUGGGAAACAACAUUUAAACACCAUCGUCCCAUGCACCAGUCAUGGCUCCUGAACUUUCCAAAGACAGACUCAUUUAAUCCCUACAAUACCCUGAGACACAGUAUUAUUAUUGCCAUUUUUAAAAAGAAAGGAUGGAGGCAGAGAGGAGUUAAGAGACUUAUCCAAGAUCACACAGCCAGGAAGUAUCCAAUAAAUUCGCUUUUCUUCAACUCCUUGUAGGCAGAAAAUGAGAUUGGUCCCUAAUGGUGUGCUCUGGACAUGGGUUCAGGUACCCUCAAUUCUGCUUCCUCACUCUUCUGCUUUAAAAACAAAAGCAAACUUUUCUUACUACGUGCAAUCAUAGGUGGCUUAUUUAAUUUUCUAGAAGCAAAACUCCUUUAAUAUUUAUGGUGUUGGGAUGAGAAGCAUUUUUAAUACCAUUUUAAAGUAAUUUCUGCCCAGUGAUGUUUUCCUUCAGGUGGAACUCCGUACGGAGUAGGGACAGGGACAGAGUUGCUGAGCAGGGUCAGAGCCGCACUCUGUGGCCAUUCCAGGGACUUCCUGGAGAGAAGGCCUGGCUCCAACAGCAGGCAGAGGUGAUGUGGCUGGGGACAGCCAGCCCAGACCCCAAGAGAGGGGAGCCUGCCCUCCACAAAUAGGUCCAGAGAUGCAGGACAUUUUAGGGUGACAAUUUUUAACUCAUGGGACAUCUGGAUGCAGCUAUUUUUAUACAAUUGUCUUUCAACUUCAAAAUUAAAACCACUCAAACAUUAGCUAGCUAUGCCCUGUCCCUGUCCCUGCAGUUGUGCCUGACGCAUGGGGAACUCCUGAGUAGAUGGCUGGAGUGGGGACAUGAGGCCGGGCUUCGUCACUCAACUCCCUGUGGGUUCUUUCAGGGUGGCUGCGGGCCAACUCUCUAAAUUACCAUGCCUGUGUGUGUGUGCCUCUGUGUGUGUGUGUGAGUGCGCGUGCGUGCCUGUGUGACACCUGCCUGUUACACUAGCGAUGUUCCCAAGAGUUAUUUCAGGUCCUCUCCUCCUCUCCUUACACGGCUCUCCGUGCCUGCUCCAAAGUGGCCUUCACAAAGUCCUCCAUCCUGGAUUCCCAGGAAGACCCCAGCUGGGUGGAUUUAAAGGAAGGGAUGCGGGCAGCAUCCCUUAUCCUGGCGUGUUCCUCCCAUGGUGGAGCCAGAGCCGAAUGAGACCUGAGCCAGGUCCUGCCCUGGGCACCAGGAUACUCAGGGCCCCCUGAGCUCCUCCUUCCACCGGCCCUGCCAAUGGGUGGCAGGUAAAAGGCCCAAGUCCUACCCAGCCCUCUGAGGAACCCAGAGCAGUAGGGAGAGGUACAUUUGGGGACCUGUAGAGAUGCUCUGGGACUCAGAGUCUGUCAGCUUUCAGAGAAACAGAAAACGCUCUCAGCUGGUCUGCACUCAGUGAAGAUGGCUGCACCGACAGCACCCUGUUGGUUCACCGAGGUGGGUGACUCCUGCUCCGUCCUCUUCCCCAGGGGCACAGGUGUGCAGCCCUGGGUCAAGGCAGGGAUUGCUGCAAAAAAGCCUGGACUUGGCAACCUCUAGGAGAGAUCGGGAGCUUCCUCUAACUCCCGAACCAUGCAGAGUUCACAGGCAUGUGGCGUAGUCACAGGCCUCUGUGGGGACAAAGGAUGAGUAAACUCCUGGCCCUUUAAUUUCUUAUUCAUUAAAAGUAUGAUUUGUGCUGGGCAUGGUGCACACCUGUAAUCCCAGAACUUGGCCAGCCUGGACUACAUAAAUAAAUAAAUAGUAUGAUUUGUGUUUUCUUCUGAGACAGUCAGGGACUGUACUUGAGCCUAAAGUGCCUGGUAGGUACCUGUAAGUAGAACAAACUUGACCUCACUGUGUGUCCUUUAUUACCUGAAAACUGGAUACAGAUGUAUUAUCAUUUAAGAAAGUCAGCAGAAGAGGUUAAUUAGGCCUGAAUUUACCUAGCCUAUCUCAUCCCCUCCAAGACCAAGGGCUCCAAGAUAAGCGUAAUUCAUUGUCAGGGUUCACAGAGAUGUCUGACCACCAGCUCUUACAACGUUCAGUCCCAGAUCUCCUGCCCUUUGGAGUGACACCUAGACGUCCCCAGCCAUUGAUCCAGACCUGUAGUCAUCUGGGUCCCCCAAAAAGAAGAGCCUCACAGGACUAAAUCCACCACAAACAGAGGCAAUCCUUUUAUGGGACUGGACCCCCCUCUCAAGCCAGGAGGGUUUGGGACCCCCUCCCAGCCCAGCACCCCAUAAAACUGGUGCCAGUUCCUUUGUUGGCAGCCAGUCUGAUUCUUUUCAUCAGAGCGAGCCCCCUCCAGCAGCUCAAGCUGGAUCCCUUUCCCUCUUUUUCUCCUACUUUCCAAUUAAAGCCUUUACUGUAGGUUCAUACUGUUGCUUUAGUUUUGAUUUCCAUUAUCUCUGAAGUAAGGACUUAUGCCCGCUGGUGACACAAGGCAGGGGCAUGAGGUGGAAGUUGCUCAUGAGUUGCAGAGCUGAGUCCAAGACUCUUGUCUAACCUUAUCCUUCUGAGCUCUUUUCUGAGUAGCUUCUGUAGCCAUUUGCUGAAGGCCUGGAGUCUCAGGUCACUGAUGAUUUGCUGGAAACUGGCUGUUCAGAAACAUUAAAGAAAGUAAAUACCGCCUGCCUAAUGGCCCCUGUGGAGUGAUUAUUCUCCUCUCUGAAAUCCUGCCUCUCAGAUCUUCCCAGUACCCUCUAAUGUUGCCAGUCAUCUCUAUCAACCCACAUUUUCCAUGUGACCUCAGUAUUCCUUCUACUGUACCACACAGACUCCUCUGCAUUUUCCAUCUCCCUGCUCACUCCCAGCAGAGUGUGUUGGAUGUGGAUUGGCAUUGAUUUUAGGACAGAAGCCACAGAAAUCCCAGGCCUGGGAGUGGAGAAGGCCUGCACUCCUGGGCCACCCAGCUGGGACAAGGAGUUCUUGAUGCUGGAUUAGAAGGCACUGGCUAGGAUUGUUUUCUGAAGCCAAACAGACAUGAAGGCUUUCCUCAGUACCAACACAAACACCCAAAAGAUUUCCUAUCCCUCCCACUACCCUACAACUAAUAUUAAUGAUUGUACUAUUGAGUAUAUCUUUUGUCAUUGUUUGUUUUUCUCUUUUGGUGGUGCUGGAGAUCAAACCUAGGGCCUCCCGCUUGCUAGGCAAGCUCUCCACCACUGAGCAGUACUCCAGCCCAAUAGCUGUAUUAUUGAGAGCUUACCAUGGGCACCAAUUUGUGUUACUUAUUUCAGUGACAUAGAUAGAAAUCCAGGCGUGUGGG